AGAGUUUGAUCAUGGCUCAGGAUGAACGCUGGCGGCAUGCCUAAGACAUGCAAGUCGAACGAAGGAACCCAAAGAAGAUGGAGUGCUUGCACGAAAUUGGAAAUGGACACUUCCUUAGUGGCAAACGGGUGAGUAACACGUGGGUAACCUACCUUUAAGAUGGGGAUAACAGUUGGAAACGAUUGCUAAUACCGAAUGUGAUCUACGGAUUAAAGGGGGCAGAAAAGCCUCGCUUAAAGAUGGGCCUGCGGCGUAUUAGAUAGUUGGUAAGGUAAUGGCUUACCAAGUCGACGAUACGUAGCCGAGCUGAGAGGUAAAACGGCCACACUGGGACUGAGACACGGCCCAGACUCCUACGGGAGACAGCAGUUAGGAAUAUUCGUCAAUGGGGGGAACCCUGAACGAGCAAUGCCGCGUGAGUGAAGAAGGUCCUCUGGAUUGUAAAACUCUGUUGUAUGGAAAGAAUAGUUAAAUUAGGAAAUGAAUUUAAAAGAGACGGUACCAUACGAGGAAGCCACGGCUAACUACGUGCCAGCAGCCGCGGUAAAACGUAGGUGGCGAGCGUUAUCCGGAUUUAUUGGGCGUAAAGCGUCCGCAGCCGGCAUUUUAAGUCUGUAAUAAAAGCCUGGAGCUCAACUCCAGUUCGUUACAGAAACUGAAAGGCUAGAGUGUGGUAGAGGCAAGUGGAAUUUCUAGUGUAGCGGUAGAAUGCGUAGAUAUUAGAAGGAACAUCUAGUGGCGAAGGCGACUUGCUGGGUCAAAACUGACGGUCGGGGACGAAAGCGUGGGGAGCAAAUAGG
This 800-nucleotide ribosomal RNA is filed under the name uncultured bacterium. RNAcentral describes it as "bacterial SSU rRNA". It matches the Rfam family "Bacterial small subunit ribosomal RNA", at positions 8 to 776 of the family's 1533-position model. The record is from RNAcentral.